This is a long non-coding RNA of Diabrotica virgifera virgifera (western corn rootworm), 459 nucleotides long. RefSeq lists it as uncharacterized. The record is from RefSeq and is a predicted model, not a curated record. The transcript is spliced from 3 exons. Lineage: Eukaryota; Metazoa; Arthropoda; Insecta; Coleoptera; Chrysomelidae.
GUUAGUAAAAAUGUGUGACUUUUGAAUUAUGGAUCACCAAACCUAUCUAGGAGUGUUUGGGAAUAAAGAAGGUAUUAAUCCAAUGGGGUUUACAGCAUAACAUCAUCGUAUCACACGCCAUCCAUGUGAAAUCUUAAAUAACACCUCGAAACACCAAGAGGCCAAUCUCCAACCAUAAGUCACUGGGAGUAGUUACUUGGGGAACAAGCCUUUUGGGGGCAUUCCAGCUCCUUUUCGUAUUAGCACUUGGACCUACAGGAGGCAUGAUUUUUGCACUAUCCUAGUGCUCAUUUCCGGGGAUGCGCCAGCAACCUAUUUAGGAGUCGUUCGGGUUUGUUUGGGAACUACCAGUGGGUGACAUUAGUAACUAUUAUUUAGUUUACCUAUUUAUAUAACAUAUUUGUAUAUUAUGGUAUUAAGUUCCCAAACUCAUGUAUCAUUUUGCGGUACUGUACGUUG